RNAcentral lists this unclassified non-coding RNA (303 nucleotides) under uncultured Emarcea. RNAcentral describes it as "sequence contains ITS1". The stretch from base 1 to 105 matches the Rfam family "5.8S ribosomal RNA", at positions 50 to 154 of the family's 154-position model. Lineage: Eukaryota; Fungi; Ascomycota; Sordariomycetes; Xylariales; Xylariaceae. The record is from RNAcentral.
GAAAUGCGAUAAGUAAUGUGAAUUGCAGAAUUCAGUGAAUCAUCGAAUCUUUGAACGCACAUUGCGCCCAUUAGUAUUCUAGUGGGCAUGCCUGUUCGAGCGUCAUUUCAACCCCUCAAGCCCUGUUGCUUGGUGCUGGGAGCCUACAGCCCCGCUGUAGCUCCUCAAAGUUAGUGGCGGAGUCGGUACACACUCUAGGCGUAGUAAUUCUAUCUCGUCUCUGCGGUUGUGCUGUCCCCUGCCGUAAAACCCCAACUUUAUAGGUUUGACCUCGGAUCAGGUAGGAAUACCCGCUGAACUUAA